Molecule: ribosomal RNA, 435 nt
Filed under: uncultured bacterium
Lineage: Bacteria
Description: partial 16S ribosomal RNA
Rfam family: Bacterial small subunit ribosomal RNA
Source: RNAcentral
ACGGGAGGCAGCAGUCGGGAAUAUUGCACAAUGGAGGAAACUCUGAUGCAGUGACGCCGCGUAUAGGACGAAGGUUUUCGGAUUGUAAACUAUUUUAGACAGGGACGAUAAAAGACGGUACCUGUAGAAUAAGCCCCGGCUAACUAUGUGCCAGCAGCCGCGGUAAUACAUAGGGGGCAAGCGUUAUCCGGAUUUAUUGGGCGUAAAGGGUGCGUAGACGGGAGAAUAAGUUAGUUGUGAAAUCCCUCGGCUUAACUGAGGAACUGCAACUAAAACUAUUUUUCUUGAGUGCAGGAGAGGAAAGUGGAAUUCCUAGUGUAGCGGUGAAAUGCGUAGAUAUUAGGAGGAACACCAGUGGCGAAGGCGACUUUCUGGACUGCAACUGACGUUGAGGCACGAAAGUGUGGGGAGCAAACAGGAUUAGAUACCCUGGUA